UACGGGGGGGGUAAGCGUUGUUCGGAAUUACUGGGCGUAAAGGGCUCGUAGGCGGCCAACUAAGUCAUACGUGAAAUCCCUCAGCUUAACUGGGGAACUGCGUGUGAUACUGGAUGGCUUGGAUUUGGGAGAGGGAUGCGGAAUUCCAGGUGUAGCGGUGAAAUGCGUAGAUAUCGGGAGGAACACCUGUGGCGAAGGCGGCCCCCUGGUUGGAUACUGACGCUGAUACGCGAAAGCGUGGGGAGCAAACAGG
RNAcentral lists this ribosomal RNA (253 nucleotides) under uncultured bacterium. RNAcentral describes it as "partial 16S ribosomal RNA". It matches the Rfam family "Bacterial small subunit ribosomal RNA", at positions 524 to 776 of the family's 1533-position model. The record is from RNAcentral.